ACUACAUUGCAUCAGUUAUGUUGGCAACAAUCAGAGAGUAUCAGUUCAUCAAUGCAAAUUCAUUGAAAUUGCUUGAUCAAUGGCAAGCUUAAACAGCCAAUCAAAUGCAACUCAUCAACUAAACAUAGCAACUAUGUUGUUCAUCGACCUUACAACCUCAGUAUUCACUUUCAACUCUCAACCAUAUAUUGCAUCAGCUAUGUUGGCAACAAUCAGAGAUUAUCAGUUCAUCGAUGCAAAUCUAGUGAAACUGCUUAAUCAAUGGCAAGCUUAAACAACCAAUCAAAUGCAACUGAUCAACUUAACAUAUCAACUAUAGUGCCAAUCAACCUUACAAAUUCAGCAUCCACUUUCAACUCUCAACCAAACAACGGACAUUUUCAACAACUUUAUAAUCAGGCUUUUUUAUGGUAUCUCACACUUGGCAUUAAUCAUGUGUGUGUGCAUACAAUUUUUUCCUCCCUUUUAUUAGAAGCUGGC
Molecule: long non-coding RNA, 480 nt
Filed under: Medicago truncatula (barrel medic)
Lineage: Eukaryota; Viridiplantae; Streptophyta; Magnoliopsida; Fabales; Fabaceae
Description: long non-coding RNA (MTRU_LNC006451)
Source: RNAcentral